UGGGGAAUUUUGCACAAUGGGCGCAAGCCUGAUGCAGCGACGCCGCGUGAGGGAUGAAGGCCUUCGGGUUGUAAACCUUUUUCGCUCAUGGUCAAACCGCAGCUUUGGGUUGUGGUGAGGGUAGUGGGUAAAGAAGCGCCGGCUAACUACGUGCCAGCAGCCGCGGUAAUACGUAGGGCGCGAGCGUUGUCCGGAAUUAUUGGGCGUAAAGGGCUUGUAGGCGGUUGGCCGCGUCUGCCGUGAAAUCCUCUGGCUUAACUGGGGGCGUGCGGUGGGUACGGGUUGACUUGAGUGCGGUAGGGGAGACUGGAAUUCCUGGUGUAGCGGUGGAAUGCGCAGAUAUCAGGAGGAACACCGGUGGCGAAGGCGGGUCUCUGGGCCGUUACUGACGCUGAGGAGCGAAAGCGUGGGGAGCGAACAGG
Molecule: ribosomal RNA, 422 nt
Filed under: Verrucomicrobiota bacterium
Lineage: Bacteria; Pseudomonadati; Verrucomicrobiota
Description: Verrucomicrobia bacterium partial 16S ribosomal RNA
Rfam family: Bacterial small subunit ribosomal RNA
Source: RNAcentral